AUAAUGAUUUUGGAUUUUUGCCGAGAAUCGAUUUUCUGUGUUUUUAGCUUAACAUCUGAUAGUUCCUCCAUUGGAGGACAACAUAUGUUAAACUGAUUUUUGGAAUCAGACGGAGUGCUAGGAGCUGGCUCCACCUCUGUCGCGGGUUGGCCCGGUAUUGAAGUACCGCCGGGAUUUCGGCCCAACUAAA
This is a small nuclear RNA of Drosophila santomea, 190 nucleotides long. RefSeq annotates it as U2 spliceosomal RNA. The transcript has a single exon. NCBI's taxonomy places the organism in Eukaryota, Metazoa, Arthropoda, Insecta, Diptera, Drosophilidae. The record is from RefSeq and is a predicted model, not a curated record.